GGCUUGGUAGCUUAGUUGUAAAAGCAUUUGUUUAGCAAAUAAGAGUCGUGAGUUCAAAUCUCACCUGAGCUG
This is a non-coding RNA of Aedes albopictus (Asian tiger mosquito), 72 nucleotides long. The record is from Rfam. Lineage: Eukaryota; Metazoa; Arthropoda; Insecta; Diptera; Culicidae.